Clupea harengus (Atlantic herring) is the source of this 3420-nucleotide long non-coding RNA. NCBI's taxonomy places the organism in Eukaryota, Metazoa, Chordata, Actinopteri, Clupeiformes, Clupeidae. The record is from Ensembl.
AUAUGCAUAGAUGCGUGCAAUCAAUUGAAACUUUAACAGUGUGCUUAACUCAAAUACACAAUAACAUACUGGGUCUCAAACAACUGAUGUUGUGGCUGAGGCAGGUGCAAGCGAUCAGGGGAUUGUGAAGGUGAUUGAGGCUAUAGCGGAGGUGUGUGAGUUGAAAGUCGAAAAAAGGGGCGCGGCUGGAGCUGGGUUCGGAGCAGACAUGACAGCAAUAUACAGUAAUGGGUUAAUAAAACUAAGGGGACGAAACAAUUGAGGUAGAUCACUUCCGUUUUAAAACCGAAAGGUAAUCGCAGCUCGGAAUCGCUCAGAUUUCGUUGUAUCUGAAUUACUUCUUACAUGCGCCUGUUUUCCAAAGAACUUUUGUGAAAAUGCCAUCAACGCUGUCCACUAGCAAAGGCCUUAUGGUUGUCACAAAGAUCGUUCCAUUGGAGGAUCACUGUGACAUCCCCAUCACAAAUGUUGUCAAUUCAGAAUCUAAAAAGCCGACCACGCAGAAUGAAAAACUGCCUGAAAUGACCCGUCUCUUUCAAAAAGGCUAUCCCAUGCCACUUGGAAUUGUGCAGAUAUUCCUUGGAAUGAUGACUCUGGCCCUUGGUGUGCUUGUUAUCCUCUCAUCUGAAUUCUUUGGGGAGGUCCCGCUGGGUCUUGGAAUAUUUUUUAUGAUAUCAGGAUCAAUAUCUGCAGCAGCACAUGAAGGAAAGCGCAUUUGUCUGAUUAAAGGAACUUUGGCCAUGAACAUCAUCAGUUCUCUGGUUGCACUAGCUGGCAUUGGAUACUUUUGCAUGGAACUGGCCAAACAGCCUGAGGAAUGCAAAAGGGAAGAAUGGGAUCAGAAUUAUAGAUACUGGCAAUGCAUGGCAUCUGUCAAUCAAUACAAGGCCGUGGUCAAUGGAGUGAAAGGAUUACUGUUGGUCAUGGCGGUGUUCCAGUUCUGUGUUUCCACCACAAUCUCUGUCUUCUCUGCAAAAGCCAUCAGACAAGAUUCUGCUGAUCAACUGGGGGGUACCGUUCGUUUCGACAUCACUGGAACCGGUGCUGACGAAAGCAGUACUGUUCCUCUGCUACCUUAGGAGGAAGUCACCGCUCCUACAUCACCUUAAAGGAGGGGAGGGGGGCCAUCAGCACACCACACAGCACUUAUCGUGAUAUUUGUCAAUGAACUGAAAGUGAAGUAAAUUUCCUAUGCACAUAUGUGUACAUUUAAUAUGCACAUUGAUAGAGAAAUGUGAAACUCUGACUUUAAUCAAGUAUGUAUGGGUGUUAAUCAUAUGCCUUUGUGAGCUGAAACAUGACAUUUUUGUCUCUGUAUGUCUUUGAUUCUUAAGUGCUGACGUUUCAAACGCUGUAUGUGUGCUUAAAAGUGUUCCCUCUGUGUGUGCGUAAGCGAGGGCUGAGAACUACUAGUCCUUCUUUUUUGCCUUGCUGAUGCAUUACGUUGCAAAAAGCAUAGCAAGAUGACCUCGGAGGUGGCAAACCCACCAUGUGGUUAUCUCAGUUGACAUAAUGCUUUGGCGUCAGAGAAACACUAAUCUCAACCUAUAUAAACCUUGUGUGUUGUGUUUAAUUUAGCUUCUCUCUCGUCUGCUGCAGUCUGGGAGUGAGCCCGGGCUCUCUCUUUCGUCCUCCAAGAUGAGAGUGAGCCUGUGCUUUUCUCUUGUCUGCCAAGACCUGAGUGAGCCCGAUAUGAUAAAAAGAUACUUAUACAAGACUCUGGAGUCCGAGGUAAACUUGAGUGUGAAUUUUCACCUAACACACAUAUUCCUGUUAAACUUGUAAGCACACAUUCUAAACUUUGCCUUUUUGUUAGUCUACCAUUAGAGCAUUGUGUAUUUUGUUAAGGUAGCUGAUGUAUUUUACUAAUUAUACUAAUAAAUAGUGCCUUUUUCUGAUCACUCAAUGAUGUUUUUCUAAACAAAGCUUGGGAGGAGGCCAUAGGGAUAAUCGUCAACUGUCACUCACCCCACUUCUGCAUUCAUGUAUACCUGCUUUCUGGUGUUGCAUUACCACUUAUCAGGUGUGGAAAAGUUACUUUUGAGAUAAAAUAGGUUAUAGAUUACUAGUUACACUGUUAAAAAGGUAAUGAGUAAUGUUACUAUUUUAAUUACUUUAUCAAAGUAAUGUAACUUAUUACAUUUGAUUACUUCCGGUCACUUUUUGAUUGGCAGAGGAGAGGCAGUGCAAAUUCAAACAAGAGAAUCUAUCAAAAACAACACAAAAAAUGUGAGGCCUAACCGGAUGCCAAAUCAUUGGGGCGAAAAGAUGCAAAGCAACAGAAUGAAUGUUAUAGUCCACAGAUGAGCUUUAUAGAUUUUUACUGAAAAUAAUAUAUUUGGAUGUGACUCCUUUGUAAUCACCAAAAUUGAUAUUAGUAACUGUAAUUUUGUACAGUUGUAACGGAUUAAAAUUACUUUUUUGUCAUUUAAUUAACUCUGUUACAUGAAACUAGUUACUCUCCAACCCCUCCCCUUAUCCAUGGGGGAUGUGAACGGACAUUGCAAACGCGUGAUCUCCCUUAUAUGCUUCCCAGGACCACGACCAGCUACCAAACCAAACAUGGUUAUUAACCGUGCAAAUUAAACAUUCCGAUGGGCAUACUAGGGAACCCAUCAGAAGUGAGGUUCCAACGAGGAUGUGCCCUCACUUCUCAACAUGAAUGUAUUACUGAGAAAUAAAGUUGCUGUCAUUGUAACAUUUUCAGUCCAACCAAUGACAAGAGUUUAGCAGCAGACAACGCUGAGAGAAAAGUGAGUAGAAUGUAUAUUAUUUUCAUUUUUACUCGUAGAUUUUAAGUUCAGGUCUCAUUCUUCUGCGUGCUGGGAUAAUGCUAUCACAGUAAGCCUGGUCUAGAACACACACACACACACACACACUGGGUGGAUAGAUAUCCUGCCGAUCAGCAGACAUUUCUCAGAGAAAUGUUAGAUGCUGGUGAAAAUAAUGUUGGGUCACCUUCAAUUCAGUUGAAUUCUAUCGUAUUCAUUUUAUAUAGCGCCGAUAACUAUUGAAAAUGUCUGAAAGGCCUGAACAUGUAAUGCCCAGCAAAAACGUUAGUGUGUACAGAAGCAUUUCCAAUAAGAUGUCAGAACCACAGAUGCCACAUUUGGAAGGCAUCUGGAAAGGAUUGAUUUCCUGGAAAAUAGUGCUUCCAGGUUACAGAAUUGUCCUAUAAUGGCUACAUAAUUGUCUGUCACAUCUGUGUCUUACUGAUGUAUAUCUGACAGAAACGGUGCUGAGUCAUGUCUCCUUCUUGCAUGUCUGCUACACCAGUUCAUUGUUUGUUUGCAAGUCUGUGACUGUAACAUUUUGCAUUACUGGUGGUCAUAUCAAAGUCCAAUUCAUGUUGCUCUGAAUUAAAAAUAACAUAAUAACUAAAAAAUGUAGGGAACAGUCACAUGUGAUCUGAUUUACCAA